Molecule: ribosomal RNA, 432 nt
Filed under: Streptococcus mitis
Lineage: Bacteria; Bacillati; Bacillota; Bacilli; Lactobacillales; Streptococcaceae
Description: bacterial SSU rRNA
Rfam family: Bacterial small subunit ribosomal RNA
Source: RNAcentral
GACGAACGCUGGCGGCGUGCCUAGUACAUGCAAGUAGAACGCUGAAGGAGGAGCUUGCUUCUCCGGAUGAGUUGCGAACGGGUGAGUAACGCGUAGGUAACCUGCCUGGUAGCGGGGGAUAACUACUGGAAACGAUAGCUAAUACCGCAUAAGAGUAGAUGUUGCAUGACAUUUGCUUAAAAGGUGCAAUUGCAUCACUACCAGAUGGACCUGCGUUGUAUUAGCUAGUUGGUGGGGUAACGGCUCACCAAGGCGACGAUACAUAGCCGACCUGAGAGGGUGAUCGGCCACACUGGGACUGAGACACGGCCCAGACUCCUACGGGAGGCAGCAGUAGGGAAUCUUCGGCAAUGGACGGAAGUCUGACCGAGCAACGCCGCGUGAGUGAAGAAGGUUUUCGGAUCGUAAAGCUCUGUUGUAAGAGAAGAACGA